AGUUCCACUUUUUGAAUUAAAUUACGGAAAAAAAUGUACUUUUCCACGAUAUUAUUUUUUUUUUGAGAUGCACCGGAAUAAGUUGAGGGCUAGGAGCCGCGUCAACAUCGGCGAGGAUUUUCAGCGGUGGAGAGACCUCUGAGAGGUAAAAAGCUUGAAGACGGAUGCAGAAGUUGCUCUUUUUCUUCACAAUAGAGGAUCAUCAUCAUCGGCAGCAUCAUCAUCAUCAGCACCAGCACAAACCCCCUUUUCCUCCUCAGGAAGUUUAACAUUUUCCCUGACUGCAAUCUUGUUGAGAAUUGCAGUAACCACUACAACAGCACAGGUUUCAGCGGUUCAGCUUCAGGCCGCCACUGGACUUGCCGAUGCAGCGAAAACGUUGUUUCCACACUCCUAUAGCCCUCUCCACUAUAGAGCGUGUCCUUCCAUGGGCAUGAUUGAACCUUUCUUCUGCAGUGGUGGCUGGAUGCUGCACAGGUGUCAAGAGGUUUGGGUGAAGAGGAUAUCCACUGUCUCCUAGCAGCCAGCUGUCACCAAAUUGCUGAAUUGGCCCAUUUAAAAGAGUUGUGUGUGCUUCCGGGCCAUUUUGCCACAAUGUCAGUGAAGACCCCCAGGUGAUCACACACUACUUGAACAUUAAUGGCUGGAUAGCCCUUCCUGCAAAUGUACAAGGGCUCAUUCACCACAGGACUUGCCACUGGGAUAAGGGUGCCAUCGAUGAUGCCAAUCACUCUGGGGAUGUUGGCAAUAUUAUGGAACUGUUGAUUGGCCAGCUGGAUUUCUUGAGUAGGAAGCAAGCAUGGUGUUCUGUUCAUAAGCUGUAACAGCAAAGGUGUUACUGCUGUCACAGCCUUGCUGACCGAAGACUUGCUGAGCCACAGGCCAUCACCAACCACCUCUAUAAAAAUUCCCACAGCAUAAUAACACAGUGCAGCUAAGAACUGCAUUGCUUGACUUAAGGCAUAAUUUCUUCUUGUGGCCCUCUCAAGGAUCUUGGUCCUUGGAAGCCGGAAUAUUCUUAUCAUAUCGUCAUCGGAUAGAGAGUCAAGCAUGGUGGACGUUGUCCAUUUGUAGGCAUUUAUUUACACUGCCUGAGUUCUGCAUCACCUUCUGUGCUCAAGCUGUAGUAUACUUUAUAAAGCCGUCAUUGUUGAGCAUUUAAAAUGCGUAUAAAUACUGUUUUUAUUAGGAGAGUCAUUAGUACACCUGCUACUGAUGUACCUGAGGGAUGGAUGGAUAGAAACACCUUGGUGGCUAAUAAUCAUUCUAAAUUAACUAGCUAAAAUGAGUGAUUCAUCAAUAAUUUGUGACAGAAAUAGGGCUCAAUUUAAUUUAUCACAUUUCUUACAUUGUAAUUCUAUUCAUCUGUUAAUGGGUUUUUGGUUUUAAAAUAGGCUGUUUUCAAGCUUUUUUUUUCCAUAGUUUUCAUACUGUGGCUUGAGAUAAAUGAGAAGUAUGCCUCUUGAGAAUUGUCUGAGGAUUUAAAUAAAGGACAUAUAUAUGUAUAUAUA
Myxocyprinus asiaticus (Chinese sucker) is the source of this 1511-nucleotide long non-coding RNA. RefSeq lists it as uncharacterized. Lineage: Eukaryota; Metazoa; Chordata; Actinopteri; Cypriniformes; Catostomidae. The transcript has 2 exons. The record is from RefSeq and is a predicted model, not a curated record.